GGAAGGAGGGAAAUGGCCCGUUGUUAGCUCCGGAGCGGCUUCGGCUCUUCGGUUCGCGCAGCGCUGACCAUUCGGACCUUUGGGGCAGAACGCAAGACAGUCAACUCGCUGCUCCUCGGACCUGACUGCGUUCUGAGGUCAUGUUCACUCCCUUGGGGCAGCUGAAAUCCAAUGACUGGUCAGUUGUGGAGGUGCAUGGCACAGGCCCUGAACUGUAACAAUCUGGCACAAUCAGCCUUGGAAUUUCCCAUGGGACCAGUUAAAGCCGCUGUGGUAAGUGCUCUGCAGUUCACCUUCCCCUGCCCAGUCCUGCUUCCCUCACAGGCCCUGCUCCUGAGAGUGGUCUUGAGUAAACCACCUAUGUGCAAAUCCCGGCCUCAGUCAUUAUUUUCAGAAGAGAGAUAGAGAUCACAAGUAAGCAGAGCAGCAGGCAGACGGAGAGAGAAGCAGGCUCUCUGCUGUGCGGGAAGCUGGAUGUGGGGCUCGAUCCCAGGAUCCUGGAACCAUGACCCGAGCCGAGACAGCUGCUUAACCAACUGAGUCACCCAGGCACCCUCUGUUUAAGUUUUUAAUAACUGUAAAUUUUACCCCAACAAAUUUGAUGUUUUCUUAUUUAUUGUUUUAUAUGUUAAUUUUCUGGUUCAUAAGAUUUUAUGACUAAUUUUGCACACACCUAAGUAUUUUUCUGUACUACAAUUUUUCUUAAGUUUUAUUUAUUUAAUCUCUAUACAAAGUGGGGCUCAAACUCACAACCUCAAGAUCAAGAGUCACAGGCUCUUCCAAAUGGGCCAUCCAGGUACCCCUGUACCACAAUUUUUAACAGCCACCUAGAAUUCAUUUGGUACAUCAUAGUCAGUUCAUCUUGUAUUCUCAGAUAUUUUGAUGUUUCCUGGUUUUUACUGUGGCAGACCCUGAUCUCAGCAGGCCAACACCCAUUCCCAGUUUUCCUCCUACUCACCUGCCUGUAGGAUAGGAAAACCAAAUACUCCCAUAUAGUUUGUUUUCCUCAUCUUUCUUACAACUAGGGCUAGUAUCAAUUCUAAUCAUCAGGAAGUAAGGUGUAGAUUACUGAGGUUGAGGGGGAAGUUCCAGGAAAGGGAGGCGUACAUAUAUUGCCUUCCAGAUAAAAUGGGAUAGCCCAGACUGGUACCAUUUCUUGUCUGUUCUUUCUGCUUUGUGAGCAGUGAGAUGUCUAGAGCUGUAGUAGCCAACUUUCAUCCAUGAGGGAAAAGUCAAGAAAAUUCAAGGCUUUUGACCUUGAGAAAACAGAAUGUUUAAACCAGUGCCGGCAAUGACCUAUCUUUGGAUUUCUUGCAAUGAUGAGAAAGAACCUUUUUUUUUUUUUUUUUUUUUUUUUUUAAUGUACUUGUGUUUGGAUUUCCUGUUACUUACAGCUGAAAUCAUUUAUAAACAUCACUGUUCCUGACAUUCAUGAUUAGAAGUAAUGCAGUGAUGAACAUUGUGGGUAAAUACUUGAAUAGCAACAACUUAACAUAAAAAUCAGGAAGAGAAUUAGGAUCCUGCAUUUAUAACAUUUCUUCUCCUUGGCCAGAUGCAGCUCUGUCCUUAACUUGCCCACUUUCUUUUUGUGAAGACCAGAAAAAUAGCAUACAUAGGCUUCCUAAAUUUUUUCAAAAGACAGUAAUAUUUGGGAGAGGAAAUAGACCUUCUAUACAUCAGAAAGUUACCUCUUCAAAUAGGAUAUUUUAGCAAAUACACUGAGCCAUGGUGUUUUCAUCCACUAAUACAGAAUCAGCAAGGGUUUUCGGAGCAAGUAUUAUGUGCAUUUUAGACUAAGUCAUGAAUUAACUAACUCUCCAUACAUUUGACUGGAAAUCAUUAGUAUCUCUAGAGUUGGGAUAUUUUAUCCUCUCAGAAUAAACAUGGAGAUUCAAAGAAGCUGAACUGAACUACCGUUUGAAGUGGAAAAGAGCAGUGUUGAUUGCAAAAUAGAUACUGAAAUUGUGUUUGAUUUCUGUUUUCUAGUGGCAGGCACUAGACAAUGCAAAGCCUGAAUCGGGUGAAUCUAUUUCCAUGACUCCCACUUACUCAUGCAGUCUUGAUGCUGUUUCUAAUUCUGCAGCCCAGAAACCUCAAGUUGGCUGGUUCUGGUUCAAAGUAAAGGCAUGGGGAUGAUUUUUUGGUAUCAUAGUGAAUCAGAGUACCUAAGACCUGAAGUGUCCCAAGUUAAAGAUGUCCUGGCUCAUUCUUAUUAGUGUGCUUAGGAUGAAAGAGAGCUCCACGUCUGGCCAGACUACUUGCAAGCUGCUCCAGACUACACUGCCAUUCAUGAGCAUAGACUAAAACUGAACUUGCUUAAGCAGCAGAGUGAAAAAACAACCCAAGGAUAUCAUAUAUCGAAUAACGUUGUAAUAUCCACAUUAUAUAAAGAAGUCUUACGACACAGCAACAAAAAACAUACAUCCCGAUUUUAUUUUUUCCUUUUUUUAGUUUUAGGUAGGCUCCACACCCAGCAUGGGGCUUGAGAUCAUGACCUUGAGAUCAAGAAUGAUACAUUCUACCAACUGAGCCAGCCAGGCACCACAUAUAUCCCAAUUUCACAAUGGGCAAUGAACAUAUACAAAUGGGCAACGAGCAUAUGAAACAAUGUUCAGUGUCACCGAUCAGAACCACAGUGAAAUGUCACCUUGUACUUAUUAGGAUAGCUCCAAACAAAAAGCUAGAAAAUAACAAGUGUUGUAAAGGAUGUGGAGAAACUAGAAUCCUUUUGCAUUGCUGGUAGGAAUAUAAAGUAGUGCUUCCCCUAUGGAAAACAGUGUGGUGGUUCUUCAGAAAGUUAAGAAUCAGAAUUACCAUAUGACCCAGGAAUCCCACUUCUGGGUGUAUAUCCAAAUGAAUUGAAAGCAAGAUCUUGAAGAGAUAUUUAUGUACCCAUGUUUAUAACAGCACUAUUCACAAUAGCCAAGAGGUGGGAGCAACCCAGAUAUCCAUAAACAGGAAUGGAUAAACAAAAUGUGUCAUAUCCAUACAAUGGAAUAUUAUUCAGCCUUAGAAAGGAAGGAAGGAAGGAAAUCCUGUCACAUGCUACAGAGUGGAUUUUGAGGACAUUAUGUUAGAUGACACAAGCUAGUCACAAAAAAUCAAAUCCCGUGUGAUUCCACUUACAUGAGGUAUCCAGAGUAGUCAGAUUUAUAGGGACAGAGAAUAGAAUGGUGGUUGCCAGGGGCCAGGAGAGGAGGGGAAAGGGAGAAGUUUGGGGACUGACUAUUUGAAAAGCAUAGAGUUUCAGUUUUGCAAAAUGGGAAUGUCUGGAUGUGGGUGCACAGCAUGUGAAUACACUUAGCACGGAGGAGGGGAAGGGAGGGGAGGUGAAGAUCACGAGUGGCCCACAACGCUUAACAGAUUUACUAUCUUGGCCCACUACAGAAGUUUACUAACCCCCGCAAGCUCUAUUAUUCGUGGCCCAUUGUACAUUUUCGUGUUUUGUUGAUAUGUUAGGUGCAAGAAGUGGGAACCACACAAUUUUAAGCAAAAAGGAAUUUAAUACAGGAAAUCAGGAGCUUAGCAAAUCAUUGGAUAGGGUGGUUGGAUCCCUAGGGGCCUCCAGGAAUGAUUCCCAGGAAAAGAUUGCUAUUCUGGCCUACCAGUGGGAGCUGCUACCUCAGCAGUAAGCAGAAAGGUGGUGAUCAGUGGACUCCACUGGUGCUGUAGAGUUCAAAGACAUGCCCCUGUAGCUGUGAUCCAAGGUCAGGAAGCCCUGCUGGCCCUGGGACAACCUCUCAGCGCCUAGGGAGUUAGUACCUGGACACUGAAAUAAUGGCUACAGGAAAGCCCGAUGGGUCCACAGGUGAGUUUGCAGCAGAAACAAAGGGCAUGGCUCUAGCCUUGGGUCCGUCUUUCGAGUGCUUCUCAUUGGCUAAAGCAGAAUCCUCACUGCAGGGAGAUGGAGGAAACGUGCUUUUCCCUUCUUGAACUCCUGCAGGAUCCAAAGACACACCUAGAGGAUUAGAGUGGAUGCUGAGAACCAGUUCAGAGCACCCACCACAGCUGGUUGGUGGCUUCAGGCUCAUUCCGACUCUUCUCAUCUUUAGCCAACUUCUUCUUCUUUUAUUUGAGAAACCUCUGACACUCCCUUCCCUACCUCCACCAUUGCCAGAUAGGAUGCUGUCCUGCGAGCCGCCAUAGCUCUAAGCUCUGGCUCUGCUCCAUCUAUGCCACUCCAUAUUGGAACAGCCUGCUUUCUUCCUCCACUAGAUUGCAAGCUCCUUGAAAGCACAAACUCAGUCUUACUCAUUAUUGUGUAAGUAAUUGGUAUAUACUUGUUGAGAGUAAUAGUUUCUGUGUUCUAACAUUACAAGUAGCAUCUCUUCUGUUUUUGUCGUUCCAUCUUUGUGCUAAUAUCUGUAUACAGUGACAGCUCAGUACUUGUUAACUUUCUGGCUUUCAUGUAGGCAAAGCAAAGAGAAAAUUCACCAAUGCUCUAUGUGUCUGUAUUCUUUUUUUUUUUUUUUUAAAGCUUUUUAAAAUUUAUUUGACGCAGAGAGAGAGAUCACAAGUAGGCAGAGAGGCAGGCAGAGAGAAAGGAGGAAGCAGGCUCCCUGCUGAGCAGAGAGCCCAAUGCGGGGCUCGAUCCCAGGACCCUGAGAUCAUGACCUGAGCCAAAGGCAGAGGCUUUAACUCACUGAGCCACCCAGGCGCCCCUGUCUAUAUUCUUAAUUGACUCAGUAUACUUAUAUAGGUUAAUGAAUACUUAUAUAGGUUAUGAUACUUAUAUAGGUUAUUACUUAUAUAGGUUAAUGAAUACUAUUUGAACAGUUGCAGCAUAUGUUUUUAAGUAUAUACACUGAAGUAUGUGUCCUAUUAGGUAGACACUAUUUUUAUUCCCAUUGUAUAGAUUAAGAAACUCUGGCUUAGGUAAGGUAAGUAGGUUAUUUACAUUUACACCAAGUGACAGAACUGAGACUCACAUCAGGAUCUGGCUAAUACCAGAAACUGUGCUCUUAGCCAUGAUGAUGAUGGUGAUGAUGAGAUGAAGAUUAUUUUAACAGUAUUAUUUUAACAGCUGAUGGUCCCAGACAUUGUGGUAGGCAUUUAAAAUUUUUAUUUAUUUGUUUUUAGCGAGAGAGAGAAAGAGCAAGUGCUAGUGGGGGGAGGGGCAGAGGGAAAGAAUCUCAAGCCGACUCCACCAAGUGCAGAGCUUGAUGCAAGGCUCAGUCCCACGACCCUGAGAUCAUGACCUGAGCUGAAAUCAAGAGUCACACACUCACCUGAAUGAGCCACCUUGGCACCUCUGUGUUAGGCAUUUUACAUGUGUUAUCUUAAGCACUGUAUUUCCUUGCAUCGAAUUGAUGCUUACUAGUUGUUGCAUGUGGUGAGGUAGACAAACCUCUUAAUAUCUGUGGGCUCUGCCACUAAUUCAUUGUGUGCCUUCAGGCAAACUACAAGCCCUUCUGAGCUCCAAUUUUUUUUUCUGCAAAUCAGUGAAUGAUUUUUAAAACACUUCUAGUUCUAAAAUUCUAAAACUCUGAAUCAAUUCUACUUUGGUUUUCAUCCCAUAAUUUUUACUUAUGUAUAGUAAGACUUUUCUCACUCUCUGAAUUUUAAGUUCCUAUAGGAUCUUGAUUUUGUUUUAUUGUUUUCUCACAUCUUCAGGGUACCUAGUCCAGUGCUCAGCAUAAAACAUAACAGCCUCAUGGAGGUGUAUAUGGAGAUAUAUAAAUUGAGAUCUGUCCAAAGGGAACUAUCUAUCUUCACAAAGCUGAACUUAUUGUUGUAUGUUACCUUCCUUUGGAGACGCCAUUCAGCCAUAACUUGGGGCUACCUCAGAGAUACCCGUAGUUAGCACCUUUGGACUUUUCUAUAGUCAGAGAUAAGAUUCUUAUCCUUAAGCAAAGUUUUGGUCACUGCCUAAGCAUCUCCUCCUGUGACUGAAUAUAGAAAGAUUUCUUUCAUGAAAAUUGUGCUGGGUGCCUCAUUCCUGGUCUGUGGAUAAUGCCAGAUAUGGCAGGGUGUUUUCAACAGGGAGGCCAUUUUUAUUCUUUAUCUUAUCUCUUAUAGGACUAUCAGAAACUCACAAGUCAUUCCAUAGCUUUUCUGAAUCUUUGAGGAAUUACUUAUUAGAAAAUGAAGUAAAAAGAAAGAAAGAAAGAAAAAAGAACUAGAAUUCUCCCAAACCUAUGGAUGGCUUAUGCAUAAUGCAAAAAUAAUUCUGAAACUUUGACUUUACAUGUGUCCUUCAGAUAGUCUGAAGAAAAACAGUACCUUAAAUAUAGAUCAAAUGGGGGGCGCCUGAGUGGCUCAUGGUUUAAAGUCUCUGCCUUCGGCUCAGGUCAUGAUCCCAGGGUCCUGGGAUCGAGUCCCGCAUCGGGCUCUCUGCUUAGCAGAGAGCCUGCUUCCUCCUCCUCGCUCUCUCUCUGCCUGCCUCUGUGCCUACUUGUGAUCUCUGUCUGUCAAAUAAAUAAAUAAAUAAAUAAAUAAAUAAUCUUUUAAAAAUAUAUAUAUAGAUCAAAUGGGAAAGUUAAGCCAAAAAGUAUGUGAACAGGGAAAAACAAUAAAUGACUUUUAAAAUAGUUCUUUUUAGCUAUUAUUUUACAUUCGAGGGGAAGGACAAAAUUCACUUCUUGGGUAAAUGGAGCUUUUGCUUGAGAAAGAAUAUAAAAGGUUGGCCUUUUGGUGUGGUCAAUUCAUAUGGAAGGAGGUUUGACAAUGAAAAUUAUGUUGCUCAGAAUAAUAGAAUUUCAGAGGUUGGACCUGAAGAGCUCAGGAAAGCGAUGGAGAAGGAAGUCUGAGCAAAAUGGCAGCAAGCAGGCCCUGAGAAGAAAAAAACAAAUUCCUUGUAUUGAAAAUGGCCAAAGAACUUUCAGACUGUUUUCCAAGGCUGCUGUGACGUUUUACAUUCUCGCCAGUACUGUGUGAGAGUUCCAGUUUUGCCAAGAAUCGCUAUUAUCUUUUUAUAAAGCCAACUAGGGGGCUCCACACCCAACAAUGAGCUGAAAAACUCACAACCCUGAGAUCAGGAGUCACAUGCUCUACCAACUGAACCAGCCAGGAGCCCUGGAUUUUUUUUAUUCCUUCGUGAAAAUAGAAUGCAGGCUGGCAGAAUAAGGAGAAAAAUCAGGAUAUUUUGGAACUUAGAGAGAGACACAGCGAGAGAGGGAACACAAGCAGGAGAAGCGGGAGAGGGAGAAGCAGGCUUCCGGCCAAGCAGGGAGCCCGAUGCGGAGCUCCAUCCCAGGACCCUGGGAUCAUGACCUGAGCCGAAGGCAGAUGCUUAACGACUGAGCCAUCCAGGUCAAGAAAGGAAAACAGGAAACAUUGGAAAGAUAAACGGAGUCUUUCCUGUGAAGAGUGUGUGCACAAGUGCAAGAGCGGGGAAGGAGGUGUAGAGGGAGAGAGAGAGAAUCUUCAGCAGGCUCCAUGCCCAGCAAGCAGUCUGACAAGGAGCUCAAUCUCAUGACCCUGAGAUCAUGACCAGAGCUGAAAUCAAGAGUCCAUCACUUAACAGACUGAAUCACCCAAGCACCCCUCAAAGCAAGUAUAGUUCUAUAAGUUCACAUAGCUUAGAAAACUUAGUAAGUCUGGACUUAAGGGAAAUUUGGGUGAUUUCAAAUUAAAGCAGUAUUUUCCAAAGGGCUCUUUCUGCACCCCCACAAAGGGCUUUUUAUGGACUAUUAAUCCCAGGCAAAUUAUAGUCAAAAUAGAUUCUGUGAUAGAAGAGGUAUAGGGGAUACUUGGUUAAACCAAAUUCAUUGAAUAUCUUUACUGUUGGACUUCUCAGAAGCUUUAAUAUGCUCACAUGCACUGUUUAUCUCCAGGACAAAGAAACUGCUUUAUGAAGCAUUUCUUAAAAUGCUUAUUUAAUCAUAGGGUUUUAUUGACUCUAGAACUCUUUUAAAAAAAUUUUUUUAAAGGUUUUUUUUAUUUACUUGACAGAUCACAAGUAGGCAGAGAGGCAGGCAGAGAGAGGGGGGAAGCAGGCUUUCUGCUGAACAGAGAGCCCAAUGUGAGGCUCGAUUCCAGGACCCUGAGGUCAUGACUGAGCCGAAGGCAGAGGCUCAACCCACUGAGGCACCUAGGCACCCCUCUUUUUAAAAUUUUUUAAUUGAAAUAGUUGACAUGUUAGUUUCAGGUAUACAAGAUAGUGACUCAGCAAUUAUAUACAUUAUCAUAUUCUUACCAUGAUAAGCAUAGUUACCAUCUGUCACCAAAUGAAGUUAUUACAGUAUGAUUAACUAUAUUCCCUAUGCCAUACUUUUCAUCCCUUGACUGGCUUAUUUUAAAUUUGUACCUCUUAAUCCCCUUUACCUAUUUUACACAUUCCCCCCAUUCCCCUCCCAUUUGGCAACCACUUGUUCUCUGUAUUUAUGAGUCAGUUUCUCUUUUUUGUUGUUAUCUGUUUGUUGGUUUACUUUGUUUUUUAGAUUCCACAUAUAAGUGACAUCAUAUGGUAUUUGUCUAACUUAUUUCACUUAGGAUAAUACACUCUAGGUCCAUC
This is a long non-coding RNA of Mustela lutreola (European mink), 8455 nucleotides long. RefSeq lists it as uncharacterized. The transcript has 8 exons. NCBI's taxonomy places the organism in Eukaryota, Metazoa, Chordata, Mammalia, Carnivora, Mustelidae. The record is from RefSeq and is a predicted model, not a curated record.